This is a long non-coding RNA of Oncorhynchus tshawytscha (Chinook salmon), 2422 nucleotides long. NCBI's taxonomy places the organism in Eukaryota, Metazoa, Chordata, Actinopteri, Salmoniformes, Salmonidae. The record is from Ensembl.
CUCCAGAGUCCUGGAAAUAAGGCCUCAUACACAGGGAAUUAGACAACAGCCCCAUAAAACUAAAACAGUCACACAGGUGAAUGUAGCCCAUAAUACAGUGAUCAUAAUAUUUUCCCCAUUUUCUGAACAUACUAUCAAACCCAAUUAAUCAGAGAAGUAUCCACCCCAGAGUUUUCUGUCAACCCGUGAGCCAGGGUGGUCAAACCAGCUGAGGCUUCGGGCACUGAUUCGUCCAGAGCUGUGUUAUUUGGGAUGUCACCCACGAUAAGACAGCUCAGACAAACAGCUUCCAUGUGAAGCCCCACCCUUUCCCCGAGAACACAUCACUUAGCAAGAGCCAGACACAUCUUCACUUCUAUGAACAAAAACAGGGGUGACAGGACAGGGAGGGUUACUUCAUUCGAGAGAUGGCCCCCGGAAUUCUGUUAAUUCCAGUUCUCCUCUCGAACACUGUUUAUUGUUCGAUAGUGUAAAUGUGUCUUACCCUCCCGCCGUGCGAUAUGAAUCCGGGUAGCUCUUUCAGCUAGCUGUCACCAGGGGACCUUGGUAUGGUCCCCCCAACAAGCCUCUGGGACUGGAUUGAGUGACUUCACCUGUAGCUCACCUAUAAUGCAUAAAAUGCUGGACAUACAGGCUUGGUUAACAAACAGUUUCUCAUAUGUUUUAUCUGAUUAUAUCUUUACCUUCUAUGCCCAUUUGUUUAGCUACAUUUUUUUUUUUUUAAAUGAUUAGUUUCUUAUCCAAUAGGCCCCAUCCUAUCCUAGACCACAAUUUACCUAUCCCCCUUUUGAUACCUGGCUCUGCCCAGGUAACAACCUUACCUACUCUAAAUAAUGACUUAGGUAAGAUUAGUAUAUUAUCCUUCUGUUCUGACAUUAUCAUGUAUGAGCACCCCUUUAAUUUUCCACAUGUCCAAUUCUCCCUUUUGUCUCCACUCAGUGACUGUUAUCUACACAUUCUGUUAUCUUUGCUCGUCCUGGCUCCCUUCUAAAACUUCUCCUCUCUGCUCUCCAACCUUCAAGGUCUCUGCAGUGCGGGGGAGGGCUCUUCUGUCUGCCUUUUCCCAUGUUUCCACAUUUUAACUAAAUGUCUCACUGUCUGGCUUUAUCUAAACUCAUGGAUUUUUAUUUUUAGAAAAACAUGUCUAUGGUGGCAAUUUCUAAAGUCUUUAUAUAGGUUAAGUAAACUCCACUAUAAUUAAAUUUCAAAAAACUUUUUUAAUCUUUUCAUUUAUUUUUUAGACAGUAUUACCCAUGACCACAAAUUCAUUAUUCAAAUGGCACCCCCUUGUGGCUGAUCAGACCACCCGAGAGAGCCAUGAAAGCAGGUCAAAGGUUACACCAUCCCCCUACAUUCGUGUUCCAUACCAUAUUAGACAUAUUAAAGAACCCUUUAUCCUUAAAAUAAAAUAUAAAUCAUUUGUGUAAUUAAAACUCAUAAAAAAAAACUAAAAGUUCCAUAUGUGAGCGUGCCUCUUUAAAAUAUCAUGUCUCUGGGAACAUGGAAAUCCCCUUAACCCAAACAUGUACUACAUAAACAAAACCUAAUAAUUAUGAUAAUCCCCUCAAACUCAAAUAAUUUGUCUCGAUGUUUCAUGUCUUAUUCGUGUUUCUCCAAAUUGUCUCCCCAAAUCUACAAAAAGAAUUUCACGUUAAUAGAGUUGAACACUUUUUUUUCCCAACAGUCAUGCACACCCCCUCAAUAUUCUAUGAUAUAACUCUCAUCAGCAAGCCUGCGACUUUUUCAACAUUCUCACCGGUACCAGCUCCAACUGAAAUACCUAAUGUACCACACUCGCUUGGUCCCCGACCUCAUUCAUACCGAUAUUAGUCCCCGACUGAAUAUCAAGCAUAUUUCAUGCACACGAUUUGAGUCUCACAAAUCUUCAUUUACGCCAGAGCACAUCUAAAACAUUGUUUGAACAUUCACUCAAUAUAGUCAACACAUCUAAAACAUUGUCUAAACAUUCGUUCAAUUUAUCAUUCAGUAGACAUAUGCAUUUACAAACACACAAAUAAACCGGGGCCAGAUAUGCCCAGUCUAGUCCAGGGAUAACCCCUGUCUCUAGGAGGCCUAUUAGCCGAUGCUGAUGGGAGUCUGGUCCACAUCGUCACCUGCUAAUCGGGUUGUAUUGGAGCCGAAUUCAAGUCGCUCAAGUCGACCCUGACCUCUGUCAGUGUUCUAUUGGGUAUCGAAGCUGGUGCACAAUGAGUCAAGUGGUGCCAAGGCGCCCCUGAUUUACCUUUGACCUGGACCGAGUGUGAAGUAACCUCCUUCACUUCGUACGGUCCAGUCCACCUGGGAUCCUGCCACUUUCUCUUGUGGACCAUGAUCCUUACCCAGUCUCCGACCUUUACCCUUGGUUGCUCUGGAUCUCCCGUCAGCUCCCCCCCAUGGACUUUGUGUAUCUGUUUGGAAAGAG